Molecule: long non-coding RNA, 217 nt
Filed under: Mytilus galloprovincialis (Mediterranean mussel)
Lineage: Eukaryota; Metazoa; Mollusca; Bivalvia; Mytilida; Mytilidae
Source: RNAcentral
ACAGUAAAAUAACAACCUGUACAAUCAGUUGCAAUUAGAUUAACUUAAAAGAUCGGAACGAGACACACACACAAAAAAUAAUUUUAAGACAAUAGACACAAAGCACCGACAAAAGAAUAUUUGCAAUUACUGGCUGAAAGCUCAAAGCUAAUAACAACUAGAACUGAAAUAAAUCUUGUUCUUCCAGAUUGAGUUAUCAAACAGUACACAACGCGCG